GUGAGUCAUCGAAUCUUUGAACGCAUAUUGCGCCUUCUGGUAUUCCGGGAGGCACACCUGUUCGAGCGCCAUUUCAACCCUCAAGCAUUGCUUGGUGUUGGGUGGAGUCCUUAGUGGGACCCCCCCGUAACUCAUAGGCGGUCGCAACUCGCAACCUUAGCGUAGCAAGCUCACGCACUCGCUAAGGGGGAUGAGGUGCUAUCAUGCCCUACAAACCCACUAAAGGUUUGGCCUCGGAUCAGGUGGGGAUACCCACUGAACUUAAGCAUAUCAAUAAGCGGAGGA
This 285-nucleotide unclassified non-coding RNA is filed under the name Pezizomycetes sp. RNAcentral's name for it is "partial contains 5.8S ribosomal RNA, internal transcribed spacer 2, and large subunit ribosomal RNA". The stretch from base 1 to 71 matches the Rfam family "5.8S ribosomal RNA", at positions 84 to 154 of the family's 154-position model. The record is from RNAcentral. Lineage: Eukaryota; Fungi; Ascomycota; Pezizomycetes.